RNAcentral lists this microRNA (22 nucleotides) under Oreochromis niloticus (Nile tilapia). RNAcentral's name for it is "oni-miR-10805". The record is from miRBase by way of RNAcentral. Lineage: Eukaryota; Metazoa; Chordata; Actinopteri; Cichliformes; Cichlidae.
AGUUUCUGGCUGAAGGAGCUCC